Molecule: ribosomal RNA, 257 nt
Filed under: uncultured Scutellospora
Lineage: Eukaryota; Fungi; Glomeromycota; Glomeromycetes; Diversisporales; Gigasporaceae
Description: partial 18S ribosomal RNA
Rfam family: Eukaryotic small subunit ribosomal RNA
Source: RNAcentral
AAGCUCGUAGUUGAAUUUCGGGGUUUUACCGUUGGUCGGGCUAACAAGUCUGUACUAGCGUGUAGAAUCUCUACCUUCUGGGGAACCAUCAUGUUAUUAAUUUAGCGUGGUGGGAAACCAGGACCUUUACCUUGAAAAAAUUAGAGUGUUCAAAGCAGGCUUACGUCUGAAUACAUUAGCAUGGAAUAAUAAAAUAGGACGGUGGUCCUGUUUUGUUGGUUUCUGAAUCACCGUAAUGAUUAAUAGGGAUAGUUGGG